Molecule: long non-coding RNA, 3531 nt
Filed under: Sarcophilus harrisii (Tasmanian devil)
Lineage: Eukaryota; Metazoa; Chordata; Mammalia; Dasyuromorphia; Dasyuridae
Description: lncRNA (ENSSHAG00000030058.1)
Source: RNAcentral
AUACUUAAGGAAUAUUUUAAGGACUUAUACCCUAUUAGGGUUGUUGAAAUAUUACUAGAAAGAAACAACUCAAACCCCUUCUUUACAUUAUAUAAAAAUAGAUUCUAUGGUACAGAAAUUUUUAUUAAUAUAAUUCCUUUUAUAUAUUUAUUUACAUGUUUUUCUGUUUCAGAUUAUAGGCUCCUAAAAAGCAUUCACCACACUUUGUAUGUUGUGUAUUCUUUAUUCACUAUCCAGACUUGCAGGAGGUUGGAGUUCAGGAAACAACAUGCUUGGAUUCCAUUCUCAAGCAGUAUGCAGUCACCUGUCUCUUACAUCCAUGUACUUCUGCUACAAAAUACCAUUGCUGAUGGAGAAGAUUGGCAGGGGGAGAACUCCUCUCCCCAGUUGCUGUAUGCUAUAAAAAGGGUAUGAGAAGGGAUAAGCAAUCUCUUUCCUUGAGAGCUCAAUACUGAUCCAGGGUUGGUUUUCCUCUUAAUUUUAUACAUAGGAAGUUGGAGUCCUUGAAGCAGUCCUCAAAUACCACUUUCAGACUGUGUGUAGAGCUAUAUCCUAUGUCCUUGUGCUUUUGCUGCAAGACAGUGUGGAUAGAAUGAUUUUUCUCUAUGUCCCCUUCUCUUCGCUCACAAAGCCCUCAGUGUAGUUCAUAUACUCAUCAUUUCUUGCCUGAACAAACCAUCGUCUAAUUGGUCUCUCUGCCUUUAAUUGUUUGCUUCUCCGAUGUAUUUUUUUUUCAUAAAGUUUUAAAAUUGACAUUCCUGAACAUGAUUUGCAAGACUGUGGUAUGGGUGGGCUUAGAAUCCUCAGCCAACUUUUCCAUUUACUUGAGGACUCUUGGACUUCAUUGGACUCUCAGUUUCUAUAUAUGCCAGACACAUUCCUUCAAAUGUAAAUUAGAGUGGAGGGGACUAGAUGAUGCUUAUGAUUCCUUCCUGGUCUAAAUCCUAUAUUCCUGUGAUCCUGUGAAGGGUGGGAGGUUUUCUUCUGAAUUCCUUUAAUUUCGUAGAUUAUUGAUGAUUUUGAAUAACUUUUGUAUCCUGCAACUUUGCUAAAGUUGUGGAUUGUUUCUAAUAACUUUUUAGUAGAAUCUCUGGGGUUCUCUAAGUAUACCAUCAUAUCAUCAGCAAAGAGUAAUAAUUUGGUUUCCUCAUUGCCUACUCUAAUUCCUUUAAUCUCUUUCUCAACUCUUAUUGCCAAAGCUAGCAUUUCUAAUACAAUAUUGACUAGUAACAGUGAUAGUGGGCAACCUUGUUUCACUCCUGAUCUUAUUGGGAAUGGUUGCAGUUUUCCCCCAUUACAUAUGAUGCUUACUGCUGGUUUUAAAUGGAUGCUGCUGAUUAUUUUAAGGAAAAGUCCAUUUAUUCCUGUAUUCUCAAGUGUUUUUAAUAGGAAUGGAUGUUGGAUUUUAUCAAAUGCUUUUUUCUGCAUCUAUUGAGAUGAUCAUAUGUUUUUUGUUAAUUUGGUUAUUAUGGCCAAUUAUAUUGAUAGUUUUCCUAAUAUUGAACCAGCCCUGGUAUAAAUCCUACUUGAUCAUAGUGUAUUAUCCUGGGGAUGAUUUUCUGUAGUCUUUUUGCUAGUAUCUUAUUUAAGAUUUUAGCAUCAAUAUUCAUAAGGGAGAUUGGUCUGUAAUUUUCUUUCUCUGUUUUCAACCUACCUGGUUUAGGUAUCAGUACCAUGUCUGUGUCAUAAAAAGAAUUUGGUAGGACUCAUUCAUUCCCUAUUUUAUCAAAUAAUUUAUAUAUCAUUGGGCCCAAUUGUUCUUUAAAUGUUUGGUAGAAUUCACAUGUAAAUCCAUCUGGUCCUGGGGAUUUUUUCUUAGGGAAUUGAUUAAUAGUUUGUUCUAUUUCUUUUUCUGAAAUAGGACUAUUCAAACAAUUUACUUCCUCCUCUGUUAAUCUGGGAAGUCUAUAUUUUUGUAGGUAGUUAUCCAUUUCACUUAGGUUAUCAAAUUUAUUGGCAUAAAGUUGGGCAAAGUAACUCCUUAUUAUUUCUCUAAUUGUCUCUUCAUUGGUGGAAAGUUCUCCCUUUUCAUUUUUAAGACUACUAAUUUGAUUUUCCUCCCUCCUUUUUCUAAUCAGAUUUACCAAAGGCUUAUCUAUUUUAUUGGCUUUUUCAUAGAACCAACUCUUAGUUUUAUUAAUUAGUUCAAUAGUUUUUUUUUUACUUUCAAUAUUAUUAAUUUCUCCUUUUAAUUUUAGAAUUUCAAAUUUAGUAUUUGAUUGGGGGUUUUAAUUUGGUUCUUUUUCUAGUUUUUUUUUAGUUGCAAGCCCAAAUUCAUUGAUGUUCUCUUUCUCUGUUUUAUUCAAAUAAGCCCCUAAGGAUAUAAAAUUUCCUCUUAUUACCGCUUUGGCUGCAUCCCACAAAUUUUGAUAUGAUGUCUCAUCUUUAUCAUUAUCUUGAGUGAAAUUAUUAAUUGUAUUUAUAAUUUGCUGUUUCACCCAAUCGUUCUUUAAGAUAAGAUUGUUUAGUUUCCAAUUACUUUUUGUUGAAUGUAGUUUUAAUUGCCUCAUGAUCUGAAAAGAAAGCAUUUACAAUUUCUGCCUUCUUGCAUUUAAUUUUGAGGUCUUUAUGUCCCAAUAUAUGGUCAGUUUUUGAAUAGGUUCCAUGAACUGCUGAGAAGAAAGUAUAUUCCUUUCUGUCUCCAUUCAGUUUUCUCCAAAGAUCUAUCAUACCUAAUUUUUCUAAUAUUCUAUUUUUAGAAUUUUUAAUUCUCUUUAAUUUCUUUCUUAUUUGUUUUGUGGUUUGAUUUGUCUAAUUCUGAGAGUGCAAGGUUGUGACCUCCCACUAUUUACAGUUUUGCUGUCUAUUUCUUCUUGCAACUCUCUUAACUUCUCCUUUAGGAAGUUAGAUGCUAUACCACUUGGUGCAUAUAUGUUUAGUAUUGAUACUGCUUCAUUGUCUAUGCUACCCUUUAGCAAGAUAUAGUUUCCGUCCUUAUCUCUUUUAAUUAGAUCAAUUUUUGCUUUUGCUUGAUCUGAGAUAAGGAUGGCUACCCCUGCUUUUUUGACUUCACUUGAAGCAUAAUAGAUUUUGCUCCAGCCUUUUACCUUUACUCUGUAUGUGUCUCCCUGCUUUACAUAUGUUUCCUGUAAACAACAUAUUGUAGGGUUCUGACUUUUGAUCCAGUCUGCUAUCUGCCUCCUCUUUAUGGGGGAGUUCAUCCCAUUCACAUUUACGGUUAGAAUUACUAAUUCUGUAUUUCCUGCCAUCCUAAUAUCCCUAGACUAUGCUUUUCUUUUUCUUGCCCCCCCAACCCUUUUUCCCCGUUUUAAAAUUAUGUGCCCCACUUGUAUCCUGAUGCUCACCUUCUUUAGAAUCCCUCCCUCCCCCCUUUGAAUCUUUUCCCCUUUCUUGUAUCCUUCCCUUAUUACUCUUUUUCUUUUCCCUUUUCUUCUCCCCCUUUUUAAUGAGGCGCGAGAUGAUUUUUUCUAAAACAAGUAGGUCAAUUAUUUUCUCUUUGGGUCAACUUGGAUGAGAGUAGAUUCACACAAUGUUCCUCCCCCUCUCUAAAUUCCCUCAGAUAUGAUUAGU